GCUCAUGUAGUUCAGUCGGUAGAACGGCGGACUGUUAAUCCGUAUGUCACAGGUUCGAGCCCUGUCAUGAGCGCCA
Molecule: transfer RNA, 76 nt
Filed under: Serratia phage vB_SmaM-Yubaba
Lineage: Duplodnaviria; Heunggongvirae; Uroviricota; Caudoviricetes; Chimalliviridae
Description: tRNA-Asn
Rfam family: tRNA
About the family: Transfer RNA (tRNA) molecules are approximately 80 nucleotides in length. Their secondary structure includes four short double-helical elements and three loops (D, anti-codon, and T loops).
Source: RNAcentral